Molecule: ribosomal RNA, 253 nt
Filed under: uncultured bacterium
Lineage: Bacteria
Description: partial 16S ribosomal RNA
Rfam family: Bacterial small subunit ribosomal RNA
Source: RNAcentral
UACAGAGGUCUCAAGCGUUGUUCGGAUUCAUUGGGCGUAAAGGGUGCGUAGGCGGCGCGGUAAGUCGGGUGUGAAAUCUCGGAGCUUAACUCCGAAACUGCAUUCGAUACUGCCGUGCUUGAGGACUGGAGAGGAGACUGGAAUUUACGGUGAAGCGGUGAAAUGCGUAGAUAUCGUAAGGAAGACCAGUGGCGAAGGCGGGUCUCUGGACAGUUCCUGACGCUGAGGCACGAAGGUCAGGGGAGCAAACGGG